Molecule: ribosomal RNA, 253 nt
Filed under: uncultured bacterium
Lineage: Bacteria
Description: partial 16S ribosomal RNA
Rfam family: Bacterial small subunit ribosomal RNA
Source: RNAcentral
UACGGAGGGUGCGAGCGUUGUUCGGAAUUACUGGGCGUAAAGCGCGUGUAGGCGGCCUUCUAAGUCUGGUGUGAAAGCCCGGGGCUCAACCCCGGAAGUGCAUUGGAUACUGGGAGGCUGGAGUACCGGAGAGGAGGGUGGAAUUCCUGGUGUAGCGGUGAAAUGCGUAGAUAUCAGGAGGAACACCGGUGGCGAAGGCGGCCCUCUGGACGGAUACUGACGCUGAGACGCGAAAUCGUGGGGAGCAAACAGG